RNAcentral lists this ribosomal RNA (489 nucleotides) under uncultured bacterium. RNAcentral's name for it is "partial 16S ribosomal RNA". It matches the Rfam family "Bacterial small subunit ribosomal RNA", at positions 30 to 506 of the family's 1533-position model. The record is from RNAcentral.
AUUGAACGCUGGCGGCAGGCCUAACACAUGCAAGUCGAACGGUAACAGGAAGCAGCUUGCUGCUUUGCUGACGAGUGGCGGACGGGUGAGUAAUGUCUGGGAAACUGCCUGAUGGAGGGGGAUAACUACUGGAAACGGUAGCUAAUACCGCAUAACGUCGCAAGACCAAAGAGGGGGACCUUAGGGCCUCUUGCCAUCGGAUGUGCCCAGAUGGGAUUAGCUAGUAGGUGGGGUAACGGCUCACCUAGGCGACGAUCCCUAGCUGGUCUGAGAGGAUGACCAGCCACACUGGAACUGAGACACGGUCCAGACGCCUACGGGAGGCAGCAGUGGGGAAUAUUGCACAAUGGGCGCAAGCCUGAUGCAGCCAUGCCGCGUGUAUGAAGAAGGCCUUCGGGUUGUAAAGUACUUUCAGCGGGGAGGAAGGGAGUAAAGUUAAUACCUUUGCUCAUUGACGUUACCCGCAGAAGAAGCACCGGCUAACUCCGU